CUGGGUCUAAAGAGGACAGAAAAAAAAAGAAUACACUUAAAAGGCUGGAAAAACAUCUUACCAGCUUCUAAAUGAAAUAGGGGAUGCAUGUAAUUUGUGAGGACAGUUUCACUGAUUAUAUGUACAAAACCACUCACUGAAACAGGAAACCACAAGAUUUCAAAACUACCAUGAGGAGAACCAGAUCACAUGCCACUGAAAGGUGUGUCUUGGAAGUUGGCACAACCACCCCCUGGAUGACCUCACUCCUGGCCAGGAGACGCUCUGUGAAACUCUAGGCCCAGCAGUACUUGACUUGACAUGCUGGGUCUAGGUUAGCCAGAGGCACUGCCUCCAGAGGCAUGGUGACAAUGAGGGCCUGCUCUUUGAGGAGACUGGAGAGCCAGUACCAUUCACCAAGGGACUACAUGGGAACAGCUUCUGCUCAGAUCUUGGUAUCUCCUAACUCUCAUGCCAGGGUCCCCUGAAGCCAAGGUACACCGUGCUGCAUGGAGGCCCAUCCUGAACAUCAGAGUGAGCAUGAAGGAUGGGGAAUGUCAACUACAAGGCCCUUCACUCACACCUCUCUUCCCACCCCAAUCCCACCCUCCAGUAAGAGCUUUGGUAGCCAGGCUGGCAGGUCACAUUUCCUCGGUGCUAGAGCUGAAAGAAGCAAGCUAAGACAAAACAUCUUGAGAAGAACUUAAAUAAGAGCCAGAGGGAUGCCAGAGCUAAAGCACAGGAAAUGACAAGUGGCCAGAAACGAUAGAAAACAGAGGAAAGAAAGAGGAUGUGGAAUGUCAGAGGAGAGGCAGAAUCUUACAAAUGCCCCAAGCAGAGACAGGAGGUGUCACUUUCUUGGGUGUGUCUGACCUGCUUGUGGGCAGAGAGGAGGGAAGGAGCUGCUAAUGUCACUAAGCUGGCCCCAACACCUCCUUCCUCCAUGGUGAAUGGAAGACUGAAACCAAGCUGGUCUGCAAUCGGUCACCCAGAGGCUUGGCACUCUGAAAAAGUAGAUCUGAUUGCUAAAUGUGGAAAUGAGUAUCACAUAAUCUGAGCUGGUCCAGUGAAAUCAGUGCUUCAAUAUUCAUAAGGCAGGUGUCCACUACCCUAGAGAAAAGCCUCAAUUGUGCAGAGGCAGAUGUGAGAGAUCCAGAGUUGGGCCACCUUGUCCUAGGCCAUUUCCCCACAUUUCAACUUUUAGUAUGGGCUUUCGCACCACCCUUCAUGAGAAAGGGCACCUCCUUCCUCCCCUGAUCCUACCCCUUCCCAAUGCACUGCAUAGGUGAGGGAGGCAACAGAGCCAUGCCCAGUCCUAGAACAGAAAUGUGGACCAAGCAUACUGCACUCAAGCCUAGAGUCUCACUAGUGAAAAAUACACUGAUUGUUUGUUGAAGGUGCAGCCAGAGGACAGACCCAGGGGCCACUCCCUAGGCCAGCUGUGCCAGGUAGCACCUGCUGCCACACUACUGUCUUCUGCUCCAGCCCCUCUGGAGCCUAUGUCUUGUUCAUUGUUAUGGGAGCGCUUUCAUGCCACAGACAAAGAGCCUUAACAAUCACAAAGGACGUCUUUGUUAAUGGUAGUUUAUUGUUGUUAAAUUAAUAUUACAGUUCUCACAUCAAACUCUCUGACUAGAAUCCAAGGGUAUAAUCUAUAUUUUCUCAGAACCUGAGAAGAAAAGAUAGGAAAAUAAUUCUUAAUAGCAGAUCAAAUUCUUCUGUCAAAUAACUCACAUGAUGGUGAUUUCCAGUGGUCAGAGAAAAAGGACCCAGGUGUCCAAGAGAGGCUCUGCAUGCAGAACCCCAGUGCCAAAGUCCACAUGGACACGGAGCCACCUAGCACUGGCAGCUGCCUGUUCUCUGGCAGGAAAUGGAGAGGAGACUAAAGACUCCUUCCACAGACUCCAGCAAGCCACUGAACCAACUGUGCUUUAUUCAAAUGGUGUCCAGUAUAUUCUUCAUUAUAAUAAAAGGUCUACCCAUGCAAUCACCCAGAGAGGCAACUGUUUUUACUAGUUGACAAAAAAGAGUAAGAAAGUUGAAAUCAUAACUUCAGUUAAUAAAAUUUGUGACCCAGAUUCGAUAACACAUGCUACAAGGGGGUAAAAAUCUAGAUUCAGGCUAGAAGCUAAUAAAAAAAGAGAAGCACAACCAGUUAAUAGAUGCACAGAUCAGUAUGAUAAAAUCAAAUCAACUGCCUAGGAGAAGCGUAACUAUUCUCAAGCAAGAGAGAAACUUCUUGUUUUCACAGAGAGAUUUUGUGUAACAGGAUCAGCAAUACCCAUGAUGGCACCCUUAGAGUAAACAGAGCCCAGGAGAACUCAUUGCUUUUGUGUGAUGCUCUCAGAGUAGUUCAGAGGCUAGUGGGUAAUAUGGGCCAAAGGUGAAAGCAAUUCUGUGGAAUUAAUAUAAUAUGGUCCAGGUACAGGGCUGUAAAUACACAGCAAGCACCAAGUGCUCAGCAUGUGCCAGGCACUGUUCAGAGCAUUUUGCCAUAAUGUUUGCAUUUCCUACAAAAAUGUUUCUAUUGAGUAAUUAAAAUCUAUUUGAAAAUCUGGAAGCCCUGUUAGAGGACCUAGAACAGUGGUUCCUGAUAUUUGUCCCUCCUAUAACAGAUUCAAGGAGCCAACUCCUUUCCCAGCAGUCACACUGGUCCAUACAGCAGUGGUGUGCUUGGCAGACAGGUCCCUCCCCUACCCCUAAUCAUUGUUCUAGAGGAACAGUACAUUUCCCUCUUCUACAGGUCCUUCAGAAUCACUGCUAUUCUCCAGCAAUCUUUUAAAAGGUAGUAAACGGCAGUGAGAGAUAAUGUUCCAGACAGAAGCCCACAGUAUCCCUAUCCUUUGCUUUUAAUGAAGUCAGAGCCAUGUGUUUUCAUGAUCUAGACGGGACUGGCACGUGAAAAAACUGUGCUGUUCAGAAAGGCCAGGAUCAAAUGCCACCUCUGUCUGGAGAAAAACUUGGAAAGCAUCUGAGAACAGGGCCAAGAAGGGGAUUGUCUUGCUGAAUGCUAAUAUUCGUCAGCCAAAGGUACCACCUUCUCUGCAGCAAGAGGACAAACCAAGAAUAAUUAGGAGGCUGGGGCUGCACCUAACCAUGUGGAAUCUCAGGUGAAGAACGGUUAAGCCAAUCUACCAUCUUUGGCACAGUGUUAAAGAAGUUUCUUCCAAAUGCAAAGUGGAUAGAGUGCAAUCAGAUCCUUGGCAACAGGAGUCCAACAAGAGAGAGCCUAUCCUGACCUUGACCCUUAUGCCCUCCUCCCCCCGCUCAAUCAUAUAUAAGGGGAGGUUAAGUAUUGCUGAUGGAGUUAUCAUCCAAUGAUCUAAAUGUCUCCUUUUAAGGAAUAACAAAGCAGAGUUCAUAAACAGCAAGUAAAUGGCUUCUUGGUUGAUGAAUGUUCAUGUCAUCACACUCCACGCAUGCAUUUAUUCAAUGACUUAAACAUUCCUGAGCACCCACUAGGUGCCACUUUAUGUGCUAAGCAAUGAUUUAGUCCCUGCCCUUAAAACGAUCUGUGGUGGGGGCCGCGGUGGCUCUGGCCAAUCAUCCUGGCCAGAGGACAACUCGCUUGAGGAGGCGAGGCUAUGAGUUCAAGGACAACCUGAGCAACAUUACAAGCUCUCAUUGAUUAACAACAACAACAACAACAAAAAUGCUCUGUGGUAUUUCAGGAAAGAAGGACAGAAGGAAAAAAGAAAUCAACCUUUGCAGCAGGAUGUAAUAAGUACUAUCAUAAAGAACUAUAUGCACACAAAUGAGAGGAGAGACAAAAACAUUUCACCCUCAAAAGAGAGAAGUGGCUUUACAGUGGAGGUACCAUUUGAAUGAUUGAGCCUGAAGGCUAUAAAGGAAUUCCCCCAGGAGAAUAGAAGAACAGCAGCUUUGGACAUAGCCUUCCCAAUACGGAGAUGCUACCCAUGAAGCUACGAUGAUCACUACCCUUCAGAGAUUCUGCGCUUCCAGAACGAACACAGCAAACACAGGAUACCUUAAGAUGAACUGGCCAUGCUCUCCAACCAAAGGGGCUGGCAUGAAGCUCCUAACUGAUCUUCCUGGGAAGCUAGAUUUGUAGAGAAACACAUUUGAUUUACCAAGAUUUUUUUCCCAAAAAAUUAUAACCCUGGCUAAGCUUGGUCACUGCUAAAUUAUCUUUAUCUGGUGGCUCGACACCUAAAAGGCUUUAGCACUGGGCUGCAGAAAUAGCAUUUGUAUGUGUGCUGGUAUCCUGUGAAAAGAGAAUGUGAAAUCCAGGAGGAGAGUAAGAAGACAAGUCUUUGAAGACAGUCCUCUCCGUGCCAACUCCAAUAGAAGCACUGAGUCGUUAUUACUGAAAACACCUUCAGAGACAGUGCAGCAGGAUUGGGUGUUAGAGUUGGGGUGGCACUGUGACUGUUUUAGCUCCCCUGGAGGCUUUAGAGCCUGGUGUGUCUUCAACUGCCUAGACCUCCCAUAUGAGCAACCAACAUCAUACAGGCAUGAAAAAUCCAAAGUUGGAGAACACAGAAUUAGGCAAGGACCAAAGUGAGGAGCUGCUCCUUGGGUCACAAGAAUGCCACAAAUCCUACAAGAUUUCGAAAUGGAAAUGAAUACAAAGGGAAAUGCAUGGAGAAGAUUACUUGGGAACUACAGGCAGCAAGAAUAACAUGACGGAAGGAAUUUAAAAGAUGACUAUAGGAACAACGCUAGCGCUCACUGGAGGGAGAAGAGAUGAACAAGCAGGCUAACAAAUCACCAGGAAUCUUAAUGGUGAAAGGAAGAAUCCAAGCCAACUGCAUGGGGGACCCACAGUGAUUCCAUUUUCUUUGUGACUUCGGGUUGGAAUGUGCUUAAGCACUGAGUGUGCUGGAAGCCAGGAAGCAGUGUGAAGAUGCUGACAGUCUGGGAUUUCUGUUCCUGGGAAAAUAAACUCUUGCUGAAAGAGCAGUGAUGGGUCCCACAGACCCUGCUUGGAGCUAUUUUUAGAGGCAUUUUCAUGGCUGUGUGGGUUGGAUCCACUGACCUCAAUGUAGGACAGGUGUGAGCUGUUUGUGAGUCAGGAACCAAAUAGCCGAGGGGGCUGAGACCCUCUGGAUACUUGUGGCAGGGGACUACCUUGUUCUAGGCUUUGUGUGUUACAAGAAUGAACUAGAGCAUCAGCCCUGGUCAGCCUUCACUCAGCAACCAAAGCCAAGCUGGCCAGAUCCAGCAGCCAAUGAGACCUCUUGUCAGCUAUGGUGGUCCAGGUUGCAGCUGCCUCUUCUAGGUCUUCAGUACGCUUGGUUUGAGACCUUGAUCUGGAAUGUGGGAAGGGGCAUAGAGCUGAAGGACUGAAUGGCCUGAGAGGCACUUCUAGGAGAGAACCUGGUCCCAUCUCUUCCUCUUUCAACUUCCCCCUUCUUGGUAAUCGCUAACAGCAGUUAAGGGCACACAUGUUACUAAGUGUCUCUCAUAUGUAUGAUACUGUGCUAAUUCUAUUAUCUUACUUAGUCCUCAUAAAGCCUGUAUGUGGUACGUACUAUUAUCUUCCUUAUUUUACAGUUGAAGAAAUCCAGGCUUUUGAGAUGAUUUACCUUGGACCACACAGCUGGCACACUUACUGUUUGUCAUCUGAGGUUUAUUUCCUGGGACUGUUUCACCUACGUCUCUAGCACCAGGUAGAAGAUCCACAAGAGACUGGUUCUAUUGUGCUCACUACUGUACACCCAGUACCCAAAACUCAGUAAAGAUUUGCUGCAUGAGUGCUGCUGCACUCACACAAAAGCCAGCCAGCUCAGUGUCUGGGAGUUGGGGUCCAGGGACCUGCAUGCCCCUUCCGAGCUGGACGCUUCCUGGCUCUCCUGUCCUUCUGCAGUUACAAGGUCAAGUCUCUAACCUGUCAGCUGCUUUUGCCCUUCCUGCCUCUGAAAAAUAUUCAGCCUAAAAUCCCUGAGUGUGAAAAUAAAUUCAUACCUAUCUUAGUCAAUUUAAAGGCAGCCACAAAAGAGGAAACAGCCUGAAUUCUAGGAGUGCGAUGCUACUCCAGCCCCCAACGUUCAUUCAUUCCUUGCUCAUACCACACACUAAGGCUUAUCUAAAGAAAGGGCAUGAACAACUUGCAACAUAAAUCCUCAGCUUCAGAGCAUUCAAAAGAGAACUCCCUGAAAGCUUUCCUCUGGAAAUGCAGAAGCUGAUUCUGCUGACAGCAGAUGUGUCCUCCACUGGAUAAAAUCAGAGUGAGAAUGAGUUAAACAACUUCCGAAUU
Molecule: long non-coding RNA, 6199 nt
Organism: Callithrix jacchus (white-tufted-ear marmoset)
Lineage: Eukaryota; Metazoa; Chordata; Mammalia; Primates; Cebidae
Source: RefSeq, a predicted model, not a curated record